UACGAAAGGCGCAAGCGUUACUCGGAAUCACUGGGCGUAAAGCGCACGUAGGCGGACUCGUAGGUCAAUUGUGAAAUCCCUGGGCUCAACCCAGGAACUGCAGUUGAAACCACUUGUCUUGAAUACCUGAGAGGGUGGGGGAAUACCUGGUGGAGAAGUGAAAUUCGUAGAGAUCAGGUGGAACACCAGAGGCGAAGGCGACUGCCUGGCAGUGUAUUGACGCUGAGGUGCGAAAGUGCGGGGAGCAAACAGG
RNAcentral lists this ribosomal RNA (253 nucleotides) under uncultured bacterium. RNAcentral's name for it is "partial 16S ribosomal RNA". It matches the Rfam family "Bacterial small subunit ribosomal RNA", at positions 524 to 776 of the family's 1533-position model. The record is from RNAcentral.